UACGUAGGGGGCAAGCGUUGUCCGGAAUCAUUGGGCGUAAAGCGCGUGUAGGCGGCUCGAUAAGUCUGCUGUGAAAGUCCAGGGCUCAACCCUGGGAUGCCGGUGGAUACUGUCGAGCUCGAGUCCGGAAGAGGCGAGUGGAAUUCCUGGUGUAGUGGUGAAAUGCGUAGAGAUCCGGAGGAACACCAGUGGCGAAGGCGACACGCUGGGCCGUACCUGACACUGAUGCGCGACAGCAUGGGGAGCAAACAGG
RNAcentral lists this ribosomal RNA (253 nucleotides) under uncultured bacterium. RNAcentral describes it as "partial 16S ribosomal RNA". It matches the Rfam family "Bacterial small subunit ribosomal RNA", at positions 524 to 776 of the family's 1533-position model. The record is from RNAcentral.